GUCAAAAUCAAGAUUACGAAAGCUUUCAACUUCUUUCUCGAAUCGAUCAGUGGUUUUUCGAAUUGAAGAUUAAAGAUGAAGUAGAAGAAAAAUUUGAUUAGUGGUUGACUGCAACAACAAUACCAACUGAUCAGUAUGUACACCAAGUCUUUUGUUGAAGCAUCAGAUAACAACUGUGUUUACAGAAACGAGGAUAUCAAAUUGAGCACAAAAUUAAGCUUAAAAAUACAGGAUUUGCUAUCUGAAUUAUUUAUUAACAUAUUGGUCCUCUUACUAUGAAUGUACAUGAUCUGAAAUUUAUAUUCUUUUUGAGCAUUUGACUAUGCAGGAAGCAUCAGAUAACAACUGUGUUUACAGAAACGAGGAUAUCAAAUUGAGCACAAAAAUUCUUAAAUAGGCUCCAAAUUAUCCAAAAAAAUAAAGAGAAGAGUGAGACUGUGACUCAAUGCCUAUGAGAGACAAAAAAAAAAAAGGUGAAACUCCAAGGAGAAGACAAAAGUUUUAUGGUAACUGGUUAUAGAGUAAGCAUAAAGGGUCGGUCAACAAAGUCCACCUAAUGAUAUGAUCCUUGUAUUUGAGUGCCCCUUCAAUUGGUCAAUGAUUUUGGUA
Molecule: long non-coding RNA, 609 nt
Organism: Arabidopsis lyrata subsp. lyrata
Lineage: Eukaryota; Viridiplantae; Streptophyta; Magnoliopsida; Brassicales; Brassicaceae
Exons: 2
Source: RefSeq, a predicted model, not a curated record